GACCUCGGAUCAGGUAGGAAUACCCGCUGAACUU
Molecule: ribosomal RNA, 34 nt
Filed under: Sarocladium strictum
Lineage: Eukaryota; Fungi; Ascomycota; Sordariomycetes; Hypocreales; Sarocladiaceae
Also listed under: 1 other name
Description: partial 26S ribosomal RNA
Source: RNAcentral